This 502-nucleotide ribosomal RNA is filed under the name uncultured bacterium. RNAcentral's name for it is "partial 16S ribosomal RNA". It matches the Rfam family "Bacterial small subunit ribosomal RNA", at positions 30 to 523 of the family's 1533-position model. The record is from RNAcentral.
AUUGAACGCUGGCGGUAUGCUUAACACAUGCAAGUCGAACGGCAGCACAGUAUGUAGCAAUACAUAUGGGUGGCGAGUGGCGGACGGGUGAGUAACGCGUAGGAAUCUACCCUAAAGCGGGGGACAACCCGAGGAAACUCGGGCUAAUACCGCAUAAUCUCGAAGGAGUAAAGCUGGGGCAACCUGACACUUUAGGAGGAGCCUGCGUCCGAUUAGCUAGUUGGUGAGGUAAAGGCUCACCAAGGCGAUGAUCGGUAGCUGGUCUGAGAGGAUGAUCAGCCACACUGGGACUGAGACACGGCCCAGACUCCUACGGGAGGCAGCAGUGGGGAAUAUUGGACAAUGGGGGCAACCCUGAUCCAGCAAUACCGCGUGUGUGAAGAAGGCCUUAGGGUUGUAAAGCACUUUAGUUGGGGAAAAAGGAUAGUUGUUUAAGAGAUGAUUAUUUUGACGGUACCCAAAGAAUAAGCACCGGCUAACUCUGUGCCAGCCGCCGCAGUAA